This is a non-coding RNA of Oryzias latipes (Japanese medaka), 150 nucleotides long. Lineage: Eukaryota; Metazoa; Chordata; Actinopteri; Beloniformes; Adrianichthyidae. The record is from RefSeq and is a predicted model, not a curated record.
UCUUUCUAUGUGGGACCAACUCCAGAAUCUGACAAAUCCUUUCGUUCUGCUGUAAAUGCUGCCAUUUCUUCUUAAUGUCACAGGUUUGAAUCCACGUCUUUUGGUUUCUUUGUUUCGCACUUUGAGGAUUUGCUCUUGAAUAAAUUAUUU